UUAGAACCUAAAGAUGAUCAGGAUUCACUUGGUCAGUGAGAGAAAUGAGUUGCUAUGGCUUUCCUACAUAUUCAGACUGUAAGCAAUGUUAAUACAUGGAAUGUAUGCUCUUUGGGACACAGCAAAGUAUGAGCACCUCAUAAAUAUUUGUCAAAUGGAUGAAACAAUGAGGAAAUGAAGAUGAUUA
Canis lupus familiaris (dog) is the source of this 187-nucleotide long non-coding RNA. RefSeq lists it as uncharacterized. NCBI's taxonomy places the organism in Eukaryota, Metazoa, Chordata, Mammalia, Carnivora, Canidae. The transcript is spliced from 2 exons. The record is from RefSeq and is a predicted model, not a curated record.